Molecule: ribosomal RNA, 531 nt
Filed under: Williopsis suaveolens
Lineage: Eukaryota; Fungi; Ascomycota; Saccharomycetes; Phaffomycetales; Wickerhamomycetaceae
Description: Cyberlindnera suaveolens partial large subunit ribosomal RNA
Rfam family: Eukaryotic large subunit ribosomal RNA
Source: RNAcentral
UCAAAUUUGAAAUCUGGUACCUUUGGUGCCCGAGUUGUAAUUUGAAGAUAGUUUUCUGGUGCUGGCCCUUGUCUAUGUUCCUUGGAACAGGACGUCACAGAGGGUGAGAAUCCCGUCUGGCGGGGUGUCCAGUGCUUUGUAGAUUUCUAUCGACGAGUCGAGUUGUUUGGGAAUGCAGCUCUAAGUGGGUGGUAAAUUCCAUCUAAAGCUAAAUAUUGGCGAGAGACCGAUAGCGAACAAGUACAGUGAUGGAAAGAUGAAAAGAACUUUGAAAAGAGAGUGAAAAAGUACGUGAAAUUGUUGAAAGGGAAGGGUAUUAGAUCAGACUUGGUGUUUUGUGAUUAUCUUCCCUUCUUGGGUUGUGCACUCGCAUUUCACUGGGCCAGCAUCGGUUCGGGUGGUAAGAUAAUGACAUUGGAACGUGGCACUGCCUUCGGGUGGUGUGUUAUAGCCCUUGUUGAUGUUGCCUACCUGGACCGAGGACUGCGGCUUUUGCCUAGGAUGCUGGCGUAAUGAUCUAACACCGCCCGU